UCAGUGACACGUAUGCAAUUGCAUACAGCAAGGGCAUCAAGAAGCGGAGGAGAAAAUCAGACAAUUUCAGCCCCUGUUCAAGAUGCUGUUGUUGUUGCUGAAGUUCAGUUUUCUUCUCGCUGUUGUCAAAUGCCACCAACCACGUGGAGAUAACAAGCCACUGUCUAUCCCGAUACCAUUGACUGGCCGAGGUCUUCCAGAGAGGAUAUCCAUCUGCAUAACAAGGUGGUCAGCAGUACCUGGUAUGCGUAGUCGAUGGCAUGGCUGGCACAAUGUGCGGAUGCUUUUGGGUUAUGUGUCGUACAAUGGCGUUCUGUAUAGAGUUCAGAGGUGUGGUGUUUCGAUGAGUCAAGGCCUGAUAGUUUCAUCUGACCAG
Molecule: long non-coding RNA, 376 nt
Organism: Exaiptasia diaphana
Lineage: Eukaryota; Metazoa; Cnidaria; Anthozoa; Actiniaria; Aiptasiidae
Exons: 3
Source: RefSeq, a predicted model, not a curated record